RNAcentral lists this ribosomal RNA (200 nucleotides) under uncultured bacterium. Its description in RNAcentral is "partial 16S ribosomal RNA". It matches the Rfam family "Bacterial small subunit ribosomal RNA", at positions 29 to 256 of the family's 1533-position model. The record is from RNAcentral.
AGCGAACGCUGGCGGCAGGCUUAACACAUGCAAGUCGAACGGAUCCUUCGGGAUUAGUGGCGGACGGGUGAGUAACACGUGGGAAUGUGCCUUUAGGUACGGAACAACUCAGGGAAACUUGAGCUAAUACCGUAUGUGCCCUUCGGGGGAAAGAUUUAUCGCCUUUAGAGCAGCCCGCGUCUGAUUAGCUAGUUGGUAGG